Long non-coding RNA from Pseudoliparis swirei, 501 nucleotides. RefSeq lists it as uncharacterized. Lineage: Eukaryota; Metazoa; Chordata; Actinopteri; Perciformes; Liparidae. The record is from RefSeq and is a predicted model, not a curated record. The transcript is spliced from 3 exons.
UGUAGUUCUUCCUCGUUCUUGCUUUUUUGGGGGUUUGCUGUUUUUUUUAAGACGCCGAGACACGGCUGGAAGGUGCUGUUGUAUGUCUACAGGAGGCGAGAGGAAAAGCAGAGGGAACACAGAAGGAGGGAGGAAAGGCCUCUCUCUCCCACUUCCGUGCCCCAGGCGGAACAUGGGACCGGUGAAGCAGGAACACAGGCAGCAUGACAGCCCUCCUAUGGAUUUGUAGACCACUUCGGGCCUCAGGGCUCCUGUGGUGACAGGGCGAGAGAGAGAGAGAGAGACACUAUACAAACUGCCUAAUCCAAGGAGCCAGCUGGUUAAUUAUGCAAAUCACACAAUGACUUUUUGACAUUUUGUGGCGGAGGUACAUGCCGCGCAGUAAUUGGUCAUUUACAGCAACAUAUAUGACACGGGGAUGGGGUCACCGUUUGCUAUUUAUCAUUUACAAUGUUGCCGUCGUGGCGUUUUGUAUUAAGGAGAAUAAAAUGACAACAUCUG